UUUUCUAGAAAGAAACUUUUUUACACUUUCUUUUCAGAUCUAACCUUCCCAUAAGUUUUCGUUCAGUUCAUCAAUCUAGAGCAAACCCUAAAUACCAAAAUCCUUAAACCUCCUAUUCUCUCUUGCCUCCCAAUGCUCCCAUGGUUCUUGCCUCGCCGAGACCCUGCCACUGCUUGCCUUCACUCUCUCCCUUGUUCAUGGUCGUUGGGCUGGCGUGCUCGCCGCCACUUUCCUCUCGCAUCGCUCUGCUACUUCACUACUGAACAACACGACGGAAAUUCGGCGAAAACUCGUGGUUGUUAUCCCAGGCUUUUCUCUCUCUUUUGACUUGAAUUCAUCAGAUAUGGUGGUAAGUAAGAUGCUCUAAUAAAAAAGAGCAUUUAGAGGGGACUACUAAAAAGCUUAAAACUUUAUAAAGUUAGGCAGUGUUUGAAGAUGAUGGCGAUCUCGGGUGAGGAGUCUAUCAUGAACGAAAAUGCAUGUUUCUUAAAAGAAAAUUGUAUAGUUAAUAAAUUGGCUGUUCCAAUUUCUUUUAGAAUGUAUGUAUAGUUAAUUAUUGGGAUCACUUAAGAUUUGGGACUAUGUACUGAUAAUACAUUUCAUUAAACUCUAU
This is a long non-coding RNA of Beta vulgaris subsp. vulgaris (sugar beet), 613 nucleotides long. RefSeq lists it as uncharacterized. The transcript has 3 exons. Lineage: Eukaryota; Viridiplantae; Streptophyta; Magnoliopsida; Caryophyllales; Amaranthaceae. The record is from RefSeq and is a predicted model, not a curated record.